GACGAACGCUGGCGGCGUGCCUAAUACAUGCAAGUUGAGCGCUGAAGGUUGGUACUUGUACCAACUGGAUGAGCAGCGAACGGGUGAGUAACGCGUGGGGAAUCUGCCUUUGAGCGGGGGACAACAUUUGGAAACGAAUGCUAAUACCGCAUAAAAACUUUAAACACAAGUUUUAAGUUUGAAAGAUGCAAUUGCGUCACUCAAAGAUGAUCCCGCGUUGUAUUAGCUAGUUGGUGAGGUAAAGGCUCACCAAGGCGAUGAUACAUAGCCGACCUGAGAGGGUGAUCGGCCACAUUGGGACUGAGACACGGCCCAAACUCCUACGGGAGGCAGCAGUAGGGAAUCUUCGGCAAUGGACGAAAGUCUGACCGAGCAACGCCGCGUGAGUGAAGAAGGUUUUCGGAUCGUAAAACUCUGUUGGUAGAGAAGAACGCUGGUGAGAGUGGAAAGCUCAUCAAGUGACGGUAACUACCCAGAAAGGGACGGCUAACUACGUG
Molecule: ribosomal RNA, 497 nt
Filed under: uncultured bacterium
Lineage: Bacteria
Description: partial 16S ribosomal RNA
Rfam family: Bacterial small subunit ribosomal RNA
Source: RNAcentral